Tigriopus californicus is the source of this 1445-nucleotide long non-coding RNA. RefSeq lists it as uncharacterized. Lineage: Eukaryota; Metazoa; Arthropoda; Copepoda; Harpacticoida; Harpacticidae. The transcript has 2 exons. The record is from RefSeq and is a predicted model, not a curated record.
UAGGUUAUAUGUAUGUUUGUUCUAGGACUGUAUGUACUCCAGUUUUGGAGCAGACCAAGGCGGAACGCCCCAGCUCCGUUCUUCGAACUUUUGUGUGGAAUGUUCGUACGGACGGAUAGAAAUGAGCGUACUUCAGCAGACUGUUGAGGUUCAGAGCACCGGGUGACGGCUAGGUUUUCUUUGCGAACUCGGGUGGAAGUACGGACUGGCCACAGGCGAAGACAAUCAUUCUGUACGUACUUCCAAAACCGGUAGGUGAAUUUGGAAGCCCCCAUCCAUAGAGAUAGAGAGACAGGGAGGGCGGUAGGCAAAGAGAUGUGUGAAAUUCUGGGAAAAGUCCCCUCCAAAUCACUGGAAGUGGUACGUGGUACUUACUCAUCUGGAGAAUUCCUCCGACCUUUGGAAGAAUGUCCGCUUCGACAGUCCAGAUGAGGGGACAGGCAACCAAGUGCAAUUACCCAGAAUCCUCAUUGCAUCCUGGGUGAUUCAUGCCAAAUCCCUGAGUUUUGGUAGAGUCUCGCGAAAUGUUUCAAACUUCAUAGUUCAUACCCCACAGACGAUGAGAUGUCUGAGGCCAGCCACGCGACACAAUCGAAAAAAAAGCCCCAACACAUUGCCUUGAUGACUUGUCGAGUCCUCGGUUCAUAUGGAAGAAGGCCUCUCUUUUGGACGCUUCAGACAAUGAAAUAAGCCCUUUGAUGAAUGACUGCGAGACGUUUGCUCAGCCGGGAUGGAUUCAACGAUGCUUACUACCCGUACCAGUUACCAAGGGAAAGAAAGAGAUCUUGAGAUUCGCAAUCAAUCCCGGGGAAAAUUUCACUCCCAGCUUCUGGAUUCAUUCGAGUUCUUGAGUGCAACAAAAAGUCGAUGUUUGGUCAAAAAGAUCAGAGGAGAGGAGCUGAGAGCGAACUUGUUGUGCACUCUCUCUGUUCUCUGUCUUCAUUAAAAUAUUUAAAUGAUCCUCCCACCCUGGCCGGCCCUACCCAGAAGACACCACACGAGCACCUAGUCAUUAUCGUCAUGGCACAAAAUCUGACAUGGAAAUCAUUAUUCAUCGCCCAAAAUCGAAAAAGAUACUCAAACUAUUCCGACCAAUUGUGCCACGGGUAGGAAAAUGACUCCAAUGGUUUUCUGGGCGAAAACACAGAACAGACGGACGGACGGGUGGACGGACACGGGGUCUAUGAUGAUGAUGAGCUCUCUUUGGCCUUACAAGAUAAUUGGACUUGAAAUCAAUGUCUUCAUUAAGGCAAAAGCUUGGGGACGCAUUCUCCGCCCGCUACUGUUCAACCUCGUCCAGCUACACCAAGGACUUACAAAAUCCGGACAUCUCUCCCAUCAGCGAAGGCUACAAGAAUGAUAAUGAACGGUGAACGGUGAACGGGGAUACUUUGCCUGGAGAACUUAGGGAGCUCGAGAAAUUAUAAUAUUAUCGGCUCUUUCCA